This 1232-nucleotide long non-coding RNA is filed under the name Homo sapiens (human). RNAcentral describes it as "HSALNT0315049". The record is from RNAcentral. Lineage: Eukaryota; Metazoa; Chordata; Mammalia; Primates; Hominidae.
GUCAUUGUCAGCUACCUGGGGAUGCGCCUCUCGCUCCCUCACUGUCUUUGCGUGUGUGUUAGUGUGUGUGUGUGUGUGUGUGUGUGUGUGUCGGCCUGUCUACGCACUACACGAAGGCUUAGUUGGUCUUCUUUCGUCUAGUGGGCGCACUCAGGUGCGUCACCAUUCUGCCGUUUCCCUCGCCCUUGUCCUGUCCGAAAGAACCGUCCGCAAGCUGCCCUGUGGUCGCGCUCACCAGCUCUUCGAGCCGCAGCUAACCCAUCUUCUUGUUUUUGUGUCUUUAACUAGGACUUCUAUUUGGAACUGAGUCCGACAGCUCAGGACUGGCUGCUCAAACUCCACAAUUUAAUGAAAAAUCUCAGAUGAUGACUCAGAAAACCUCUAAUGAUCUGAGGAAUAUAUUAAGGGAUUCCAGAGUCAAAGGCUGAUCAUGGAGGGCAUUGAUGAGGGAAGACUUCAGCACGUUUUUCAGCACCAGGACAAGCAUCAUUGCUCAAGGAGAGCUUGGUUGACAACAGGAAGUUAGAAGGAGUCUGAAUUGUAACAAGUGUGGCAAGAGCACCAAGAUCACUGUGUGUGUGUGUUCACAGAAAAUGUACCAAAGGGAGAAGCCUUAAAAACAAAUGGCAGGUGUGGGCACCAGAAAAUCAACACAUCGGGAAGAGAAAAAUGGCAUGGUUUUACUGUAAUUGUAAAAAGACGCCCUAAAGAGUGUCUAUCGGAUCACCCUCAAGUUGGGUCAAACGGCUCCUCUUCUCGGCUUUUCGGGAGCAACCCUAUCUCAACAUUCACCAUCUUAAGAUGAGCAGACUGCAAGUUUGCCUCUCCCACCAGUAUGGGAGCUGCCGAAGCGGCAAGAACAGCGUUUCCGUCCAUCGAGCGCCAGGUCACCAGUCAGCUCCAGUCCUAUUUUGAGUUGAAGUAAAAGCUCCUCCCUAGAUGGCCAGUGCACGUCUUUAAAAAGCGACUCCUUUCCCACAAAGGAAAUACGACUGGUUCGCAUCUAUCAAGGGUUGGCGUUGGGAUAAGAGGGUGAAGUAUCAGCUGGCCCUGAUUCUCUGAAUUCCCGGACCCAAUAACGCGACCAAGCACCGUGACUCCCAGGAAAACUAGCGGAGUGAGCGCGGCUGAGGAAAUUACUGACACCGGAAGUCACGUGAGCGGCUGCCCCUAAGGUCGCUAUCUCGACAGUCGACUAUUCAGCCUUGCAGGCGCCUCUGGCGGGCUUCACU